UGCGUAGACGGUAUGUUAAGUUCGUUGUUAAAGGUUUCAGCCUAACUGGAAUAUUGCGAUGAGAACUGGUGUACUAGAGGGUGAGAGAGAGAAGUGGAAUUCCUGGAGUAGCGGUAAAAUGCGUGGAUCUCAGGAGGAACACCAAUGGCGAAGGCAGCUUCUUGGCUCAUUCCUGACGUUGAGGCACGAAAGCGUGGGAGCAAACA
Molecule: ribosomal RNA, 206 nt
Filed under: uncultured bacterium
Lineage: Bacteria
Description: partial 16S ribosomal RNA
Rfam family: Bacterial small subunit ribosomal RNA
Source: RNAcentral